RNAcentral lists this ribosomal RNA (465 nucleotides) under Vreelandella stevensii. RNAcentral's name for it is "partial 16S ribosomal RNA". It matches the Rfam family "Bacterial small subunit ribosomal RNA", at positions 338 to 795 of the family's 1533-position model. The record is from RNAcentral. Lineage: Bacteria; Pseudomonadati; Pseudomonadota; Gammaproteobacteria; Oceanospirillales; Halomonadaceae.
CCUACGGGUGGCUGCAGUGGGGAAUAUUGGACAAUGGGCGAAAGCCUGAUCCAGCCAUGCCGCGUGUGUGAAGAAGGCCUUCGGGUUGUAAAGCACUUUCAGUGGGGAAGAAAGCCUUGGGGCUAAUACCCUCGAGGAAGGACAUCACCCACAGAAGAAGCACCGGCUAACUCCGUGCCAGCAGCCGCGGUAAUACGGAGGGUGCGAGCGUUAAUCGGAAUUACUGGGCGUAAAGCGCGCGUAGGCGGUCUGAUAAGCCGGUUGUGAAAGCCCCGGGCUCAACCUGGGAACGGCAUCCGGAACUGUCAGGCUAGAGUGCAGGAGAGGAAGGUAGAAUUCCCGGUGUAGCGGUGAAAUGCGUAGAGAUCGGGAGGAAUACCAGUGGUGAAGGCGGCCUUCUGGACUGACACUGACGCUGAGGUGCGAAAGCGUGGGUAGCAAACAGGAUUAGAUACCCUAGUAGUC